Long non-coding RNA from Cyprinus carpio (common carp), 1471 nucleotides. Lineage: Eukaryota; Metazoa; Chordata; Actinopteri; Cypriniformes; Cyprinidae. The record is from Ensembl.
CUGGUCUGCAGCGGUCUGGCCGGUGUCCAUUUCUGACUGUGGGGACAGGGGGCAAAUGGAGGGAGAGUGAGAGAAAGGCGAAGAGCACGAGGGAGAGUGGGAUGGAGAGGGAUGCUGUGAGCCGUUCUGUUAAAACGUUCAGCGGUGGAGGGAAGCCAUCUGCUGCAUUACAACAACCUGCAGGAGAUAGAGAGGUGAAGGAGGUAGCGUAUAGCGCCUAAGGAGAAGUAAUCACGGUUAUCACCUAUAUCUCGGUUCGGUCGCUGUGUCAGCUGUAUCAAAACGACAUGGCCCCGACUGCACAAUCGACUAUGAAAAUGCAGAGAUAUGGCCAUUGUUUACAAGUAGGAUGCUUUAUUUGGAGUACAUCAUUGACAUUCUCGUUCAGUGCAGGUACCGGGAGAUAAUAUGGAGCCAAUUGCCUCGCUCCAAAACUGGCAUAAAUAUUCACCAGCCCUUCCUGCACAAAACAAAUUGAUUCCACAUUCAAGGUUACUGAUAAGAUAACAUCCGUGAGUGAAUACCAAUCUACCUCCCAUAGACUGAGCUAGGCUGAAUUUGGUCGGAUGGGGGAAAUCUGCACGCGCUGUGUUGUUGAAUGAUGAAUGGACCAAUUGAGUCUGCAGAGUUCUAUUACUUUCCAUCAUCAAACGAAAGUUGCUGAGGAGCUCUGCUCUCCAUUUUAGAGCAGGAACUGAUUAUGCAUACAAAAUGAGGACAGAAUUAACCCUCGCCAGCUACGACUGAAGCCUAAAGGCUGCUUCUUUGUGUUCGUGUUUUUCUUUCUCCAUUAUUUUCCCUGACCAUUCUCUAAUAAUGUUGCCUCCCUCUAAGAUUUGUUAUCUUGCAAUGUAUGUUCAUACCCCUCCCCCGCAUUCAUCUUUCCCGCUUUCCUCCAGACUUCUGCUCUACAGUCAGUGUCCCCCAGGCUUGAACUAACUCCAGUAUGUGAUAUAAAUAUCCUCAGCAUUUAAUCUCUAUGCUCUUUGAGUCUUCUUCAUGGCCGGAGGUUUCUCUAUGCACUCCUAGUUCUCCCAUGUUCUUCCCCUCUGACACCGAACAAGUUUGAUCCACUAACUGAUUGCAGUACUGCAGGACAGAAUUUAUGAAAUAUUUUUAGCCUGCUCACGUUUCUACUGCAUUAUUGGGUCAUGUGUAUAUUUUCCAAGCAGAAAAUGUAUUUGUUUAAAAGGAGAAAAAUAACGAAAUGGUUUUCACGAUUUCUGUUGAUGGUUCCUGCACAUGCAUUUUUACUCUAAUGCAGACCGAAUGCCAUAGUAAAAUGCUGUAAAACUAUUCUACACAUUUUUCAGUUGUACCAGUGAAGUCCGAACCACUAACAUACUAUACAGCAUGACCAGUAAAGUUGGAUUCUCAUACAAAUAACCUUUGUGAGCCAGUUGUAUUUAGUGAAUCUCAAACAUAGGCUGUGUCCGAAAUUUCGAACACUCUGGGUAGAUACAACAGUAGA